This is a long non-coding RNA of Lycium barbarum (goji berry), 1136 nucleotides long. RefSeq lists it as uncharacterized. The record is from RefSeq and is a predicted model, not a curated record. The transcript has 3 exons. NCBI's taxonomy places the organism in Eukaryota, Viridiplantae, Streptophyta, Magnoliopsida, Solanales, Solanaceae.
UAAAAAGUGUAAGUCUAUAAUAAUUAGUAAAACGGAAAAGGAAAAAAUAGUUCAUUCAUGCCCUUCGUUAUACUUUAGGGCCAAUUAUACCCUUACCGUUAUACUUUGGGCCAAAUAUACCCUUGAGUAUAACGGCGUGCCACGUGUCAAAAUCUCAGUGACCAACUUAUUUUCCCUCUUUUAUUUUUCAUCCGGAUGCCUACUCCUUCAGAUCCGACCCAAUUAAUUUAUUACUCAACCCGUAAAAUAACCCAAAUAAGCCAAACCUAACCCGUAUAACAUAUCUAUAGCCUGCCUCUCUCUCUCUCUCUCUCUCUAAAAAAAAAACGCAGAUCAUCUUCAACCUCUUCAAAUGGAAGCUGCAAUUGUGAUUUAGUGGGUUUUAUUGUUACCUUUUUGCUUGGUGAUUUAGUGGUUUUUCUGCAUACCCUUUUGCUUAUUUUGUGGUUUGGAUUUUGAGUUUUCAUAUUUUUUGUUUUGGGACGCAGAUCGUCUUCAGAUGGGUGAAGUAGUUUCCACUAUUUCAAUGAAGUCUUACAAUGUCCGAAAUUAGUUGUAAUUCAACGAAGAAGUGUCACUGUGGUGAAAUUGCUCGUUGUUUCAAUUCGAAAACACCUUCAAAUCCUGGUAGGAUAUUCUAUAAGUCUCCUAAACUUAAGGCUGAAAAUUGUGGUUUUUGGGAGUGGCAAGAUAAUUUUCUAGACAAUGCUUUAUUGGAAAUAAGUGAUUUGAAGGGUAAAUUGGAAGUGGCUACGACGAAGAUGGACAAUUUAAGAGAGUCGUUGAAUGCGGUUAAGCUCGAAAGAGACAACUUGAAGAAAAAGGUGCAUAACUUGGAGGCUAUAAAUAACUCUCAAGUGAGCAAAUCAAGGGAAUUGGAAGAGAAGAUGUUGAAGUUGAAGAUGUUUAUGAUUUCAUUGUCCGUAUUAGUUGAAUUUUUUUGUCGCUAAUUUGGGAUGAAUUAUGCUUGGUCUAGUAAUAGAAGUGAAAGGCUUGUUUUGGUAGAUGACGAUGUGUAGGAGUAGAAGUGUUUGUUUAGGAGUUGAAGUCUUGCUAUGUAAGCUAGUUUGUUGUUGUUAUUGUAUGUGUAAACUUGCUAAUUUAAUGUUGCUAAUAAGAAAUCCAUUUUUUCUCUC